GUGGGGAAUUUUGCGCAAUGGAGGAAACUCUGACGCAGCAACGCCGCGUGCGGGAUGACGGCCUUCGGGUUGUAAACCGCUUUCAGUGGGAAAGAUAAUGACGGUACCCACAGAAGAAGCUCCGGCUAAAUACGUGCCAGCAGCCGCGGUAAUACGUAUGGAGCAAGCGUUAUCCGGAUUUAUUGGGCGUAAAGCGCGCGUAGGCGGCUUGUUAAGCAGAAUCUCUAAUCUUAGGGCUCAACCCUAAUCCGGAUUCUGAACUGGCAGGCUCGAGUUCGGUAGAGGAAGAUGGAAUUCCCAGUGUAGCGGUGGAAUGCGCAGAUAUUGGGAAGAACACCAAUGGCGAAGGCAGUCUUCUGGGCCGGAACUGACGCUGAGGUGCGAAAGCUAGGGGAGCGAACAGGA
RNAcentral lists this ribosomal RNA (405 nucleotides) under uncultured bacterium. RNAcentral's name for it is "bacterial SSU rRNA". It matches the Rfam family "Bacterial small subunit ribosomal RNA", at positions 354 to 777 of the family's 1533-position model. The record is from RNAcentral.